Molecule: transfer RNA, 59 nt
Filed under: Vibrio anguillarum
Lineage: Bacteria; Pseudomonadati; Pseudomonadota; Gammaproteobacteria; Vibrionales; Vibrionaceae
Description: tRNA-Arg
Rfam family: tRNA
About the family: Transfer RNA (tRNA) molecules are approximately 80 nucleotides in length. Their secondary structure includes four short double-helical elements and three loops (D, anti-codon, and T loops).
Source: RNAcentral
AGCUCAGCUGGAUAGAGUACCUGGCUACGAACCAGGCGGUCGGAGGUUCGAAUCCUCCC